UCGGGAAUUUUGGGCAAUGGGCGAAAGCCUGACCCAGCAACGCCGCGUGAAGGAUGAAGUAUUUCGGUAUGUAAACUUCGAAAGAAUAGGAAGAAUAAAUGACGGUACUAUUUAUAAGGUCCGGCUAACUACGUGCCAGCAGCCGCGGUAAUACGUAGGGACCAAGCGUUGUUCGGAUUUACUGGGCGUAAAGGGCGCGUAGGCGGCCCCGCAAGUCACUUGUGAAAUCUCUGGGCUUAACCCAGAACGGCCAAGUGAAACUGCAGGGCUAGAGUGUAGAAGGGGCAAUCGGAAUUCUUGGUGUAGCGGUGAAAUGCGUAGAUAUCAAGAGGAACACCUGAGGUGAAGACGGGUUGCUGGUCUAACACUGACGCUGAGGCGCGAAAGCCAGGGGAGCAAACGG
RNAcentral lists this ribosomal RNA (403 nucleotides) under uncultured bacterium. Its description in RNAcentral is "bacterial SSU rRNA". It matches the Rfam family "Bacterial small subunit ribosomal RNA", at positions 355 to 775 of the family's 1533-position model. The record is from RNAcentral.